UUGUGCAGCUAGGUCUCUUCUUUGCAGGCAUGGCAGUGAUAAUGGUCUCUCAUUACCCUGUAUGGUAUUUUCCACAAACUUUACCACAUGGGAACAAAGACGACUUAGCAGGUCGGUAUGGCUGAGAGAAGCACGACAGGUCACCAGUCAAAGUGAAACAAGUACAGCUGAGAAGCAUGAUGGAUGCUGAAGACCAGCAAGAUGCCUGAACUAAAUCCCUCAACACCAGAGGAUGAGAGCUAAUAAGGACCUGCAUCACUUCAUGUGAGAACCGGUCUUCGGAUCAGACUCAGUGUUGACUGCAGCGUGGCUUGGGUCUUAAAUCUGGUGGAUUUGACUCAUCAAAUGAAGUAACUCUGGGAUCCUGUGUGACAUCUUGUGACUGUGUAAUGGUCCAAGUCAUCACUCAUUGGAAAACUCUGGAGCUCAAAGAACAGAACCUGAACCACAGUUUGAAAUGUAUGAAGCGUACAUUUGUAAAGUACAGAAAACUUUAAGGUCUCAUAAUUCACAUUAUAGAGAAACAAAGUUUAUUAAACUAACAUGAACAGGAUUCCUGUUCUGGAGACUUUUAAGAUGUAAAACAAAUGUAGAGUUGUAUUUGUAGAUUGAACAGAAAUUGGGGAACUCUCACUUUAUUUGUUGUACUGUUGAGGACCAUUUGUUGAAAUAAAAUUCAGCACUGAA
This is a long non-coding RNA of Notolabrus celidotus (New Zealand spotty), 687 nucleotides long. RefSeq lists it as uncharacterized. The record is from RefSeq and is a predicted model, not a curated record. Lineage: Eukaryota; Metazoa; Chordata; Actinopteri; Labriformes; Labridae. The transcript has 5 exons.